AACGAACGCUGGCGGCAUGCCUAACACAUGCCAGUCGAACGAGACCUUCGGGUCUAGUGGCGCACGGGUGCGUAACGCGUGGGAACCUGCCCUUAGGUUCGGAAUAACUCCCCGAAAGGGGUGCUAAUACCGGAUAAUGUCUUCGGACCAAAGAUUUAUCGCCUUUGGAUGGGCCCGCGUUGGAUUAGCUAGUUGGUAGGGUAAAAGCCUACCAAGGCGACGAUCCAUAGCUGGUCUGAGAGGAUGAUCAGCCACACUGGGACUGAGACACGGCCCAGACUCCUACGGGAGGCAGCAGUGGGGAAUAUUGGACAAUGGGCGAAAGCCUGAUCCAGCAAUGCCGGGUGAGUGAUGAAGGCCUUAGGGUUGUAAAGCUCUUUUACCCGGGAUGAUAAGGACAGUACCGGGAGAAUAAGCUCCGGCUAACUCCGU
RNAcentral lists this ribosomal RNA (432 nucleotides) under uncultured bacterium. Its description in RNAcentral is "partial 16S ribosomal RNA". It matches the Rfam family "Bacterial small subunit ribosomal RNA", at positions 29 to 506 of the family's 1533-position model. The record is from RNAcentral.